This 460-nucleotide ribosomal RNA is filed under the name uncultured bacterium. RNAcentral describes it as "partial 16S ribosomal RNA". It matches the Rfam family "Bacterial small subunit ribosomal RNA", at positions 338 to 795 of the family's 1533-position model. The record is from RNAcentral.
CCUACGGGGGGCAGCAGUGAGGAAUAUUGGUCAAUGGCCGCGAGCCUGAACCAGCCAAGUAGCGUGAAGGAUGACUGCCCUACGGGUUGUAAACUUCUUUUAUACAGGAAUAAAGUGAGGCACGUGUGCCUUUUUGCAUGUACUUUAUGAAUAAGGAUCGGCUAACUCCGUGCCAGCAGCCGCGGUAAUACGGAGGAUCCGUGCGUUAUCCGGAUUUAUUGGGUUUAAAGGGAGCGUAGACGGGUUGUUAAGUCAGGUGUGAAAGUUUGCGGCUCAACCGUAAAAUUGCAACUGAUACUGGUGAUCUUGAGUACAGUUGAGGUAGGCGGAAUUCGUGGUGUAGCGGUGAAAUGCUUAGAUAUCACGAAGAACUCCGAUUGCGAAGGCAGCUUGCUGAACUGCCACUGACGUUGAUGCUCGAAAGUGUGGGUAUCGAACAGGAUUAGAUACCCGGGUAGUC